This 5594-nucleotide long non-coding RNA is filed under the name Sus scrofa (pig). RNAcentral's name for it is "lncRNA (ENSSSCG00005037519.1)". The record is from RNAcentral. Lineage: Eukaryota; Metazoa; Chordata; Mammalia; Artiodactyla; Suidae.
UUUUUUUUUUUUUUUUUUUAGAUUCCACAUAUAAGUGAUAUAUGGUAUUUGUCUUUCUCUGACAUACUUCGCUUAGUAUGAUAAUCUCCAGGUCCAUCCAUGAUGGACAAAUGGCAUUAUUUCAUUCACUCCUGAUCUGCCUUUUAAAUUCCUCAGUAACUCCCUAUCACCUUCAGGGUCCUGUUCAAUCUUAUGAGCAUCCUCACAUACACUUUCCAAUCAAAAAAUACCAAAUACGAGUUCCCAUCAUGGCUCAGUGGGUUCAGAACCCGACCAGUAUUGAGAAGUAUGUGGGUUCAAUUCCUGGCCUCAUUCAGUGGGUUAAGGAUUCAGCGUUCCCAUGAGCUGUGGUGCAGGUCACAGAUGAGGCUCGGACUUGGCAUUGCUGUGGCUGUGGCAUAGGCUGGAACCUCCAUAUGCUGCAGAUGGGGCCCUAAGAAGAGGGAGAAAAAAAAAAAUACCUUCAGGCAGGUCUACCUCCAGCCCACGUGGCACCUUGUGCAAAUUAGACAAAGGCACUUCCUACUACAGGUGCUCCGAGGAGCCAAGCCCACGCAGGAUUUCAGCCCUGCUCUCACCCCAUCUCUGCCCACCCUUUUUGAAAGGUCACAAGUGCUCAACCAGCCCUGCAGCCCUAACUUAAGCUUCUCAUCAAGCACCUCUUUGUCUACUUGUCUAGAACACCUUUACCCACUAAAUCCCCCUACCUAACUCCUAUUCGUCCUUCUAAACGUCAAAGCAAUCAUUCUCCUCCAAGAGGAACCCACCUACUCUAUGCUACCAGAAAACCCUUGUCACAGCAUGCCUGUCACAGAUUUUUCCAUUCAUUUCCCCCAUGUAGCAUUCUGUGACCAUAAGGACCCUGUCUCUUAGAUCUGUGUGCCUGUAGAGCUCAGCACAGCGCCGCAGACCCAUCGUUGCUGAAUGUCAAACAAACGAUGCCACUUGCUUAUAUGGUCACCAUGUAAGAUCCCCAGCAGUUUGGAGAUGGGGCCACUGGGAGGGGGGUGCUGUUCCUCAAAUUACAUAAUCCCCACUCAGAUAACCAGAAGCCAAGUUUCAUUGAGCAAUCAUUUCAUUAACCUAUGAUUAAGAAGAACAAACAUUUUAUUUAUGUAUUGCUUUUUUAGAGCUGCACACGUGGCAUAUGGAGGUUUCCAGGCUAGGGGUGAAAUAGGAGCUGCAGCUGCUGGCCUCCACCACAGCCACAGCCACACCAGAUCCUUAACCCACUGAGUGAGGCCAGGAAUCAAACCCGCAUCCUGAUGGAUACUAGUGGGGUUCAUUACCACUGAGCCACAACGGAAACUCCAAUAUUAAAAAAAUAAAGAGUUAGCCCUACUUCCUGAAGCACAGGCCGGCGCUCUUCUACACCUGCCUUUCUUGGGAUUUGCCAAUUCCCUCCUGACACAAAUCCAGAAUUCUCUUCUCGAUUCAUGCCAGGCUAAAGGAAGCGGAGCCCCCAGACUUUAAGUCCCUGUUCAAAGCACCUGUGUAUCUGAAAUCGAGCUAUUUUACUUGGGAAAAAUGUACUUGUCAGUUGGGUGUGAGCCAUUUGGAGGAAAGACUGGGCCAAUACCUCGGGGAUUUAGUCAGAGAUGUUACAGCCUCUCUGCUCACCAGGACGCCAAUGCGUGCCACCCUGCCCCAGCCCCCGCUGAAGGUGACAACAGAACCCUUCAGCUUGCUGCCUGUGGAUUGAGGUACUGGGGCCCAGAGACAAUGAGUUAAUGAGGUGACAAAAGCUGGGGAGCUGGGAGGACACAUGGGGGAACCCACAGCUUCGUGGAGGGCCAGUGCCCCCCAGGGCCAGGGCCACUCACGAGGGGGGCCAGGCGGAUGGAAACCCAGAAGGCGGGGGGUUGGGGUGGGGGAAUUCAGCAGACAGGAUCUUGUUGUUGCUGCAAAUGACACAAGUGACACCGAACCUUCAAAGACUUUUAAGCAAAAAUGGGAAUUCCUUGGGGCGGCCCAGGAUGAGGAUGGCCUCAGGGACUGAAAAUACCGUCAGACUCUCCUUCACCCCCCUCCUAUCAGGCACCAUCUCUUUGGAUGUGUGUGCUCGAGGGCAUGCACGUGUGUGUGUGUUUGUGUGUGUGUGUAUGUCUGUCUGUCUGUCUGUCUGUCUGUCUCAGUUUCUACAUCUUUUUCUCUCUCUUUCCAUAUCACAUACAUACUUUUUUCUACAGGAAACAGGACUCUCCUUCAGUGCGUGAGUGAGAGGGUGCAUGCGUGUGUCUCAGUUUCUAUGUCAUUUUCUCUCUCUUUCCAGAUCGUAGAUAUACUUUUUCCUACAGUAAACAGGACUCUUCUGUGUGUGUGUGCAUGGGGGUGGGGAUGCAGAAAGCAAUCACAGAGCAGAGAACGUCAGGUUUAUUUCAUCCCAUAUUAGCCACUUCAAAAGACAGAACGUUCUGGCUUCUCGUAGACUGUAUAUAGACCCUCGGAAGAGGACCCUGGUCUGUGUGGCUUGGAUACCUGCUUAUCUAUGAUGGUCCUUAGCCCUGUUUACUCAGUGGUGCCCGUCCUUGGGCUUCCUCACAAACAGAUCUGAUCCCACCGCAGUAUCCGUGCCCUGUGUGCUUGGGAAGACAGAGACUUCCACAGCCCCAGAGAGAAAUCAUUCUUCAUCCACACCAGUCAUGACACUCUGACUCCCUUGCCGGGUACUAGUCUGGGCACAGGGACAGGAGAGCCCUAGCUAACGAGCUUCAAUCCAAAGGAAAGUUUGUAGGAGAGUUUUUUCCCUCAUUCUUGAUAAAAUACAUCAAACUGGGACUCCCUCCAGCCUCUGGAUAGAGUUAUGCAAAGAUAUGAUGCCUGGGGGGUUCCCAUCAUGGCUCAGUGGUUAAGGAAUCUGCCUAGGAAGCAUGAGGUUGCAGGUUCGAUCCCUUGCCUCACUCAGCGGGUUAAGGACCCGGCACUGCCAUGAGCUGUGGUGUAGGUCACAGAUGCGGCUCAGAACUGGCAUUGCUGGGGCUCUGGCGUAGGCUGGUGGCUACAGCUCCCCUUAGACCUCUAGCCUGGGAACCUCCAUAUGUCGCGGGUGCGGCCUUAGAGAAAGGCCAAAAAAGAAAAAAAAAAUUAAACCUAUAUUUUAAAAAAAUUUUUAAAAAAAGAUAUGAUGCCUGAGCCAUCUUGUAAUCAUGAGGGACAAAUCUGGAGAUUUCAACCAUCACGCUGAGGAUGGUAGAAUGGAAACAAAUCAACCUGGAGCCCCGAUGACAUCACUAUGCCAUCCCAUUAACCCCAGGACCCUGUCCUUCAGGAAGCCAGUCUGCAGGGAGAAUAACAGAACUGAUGUUCAAAGCCAGCUGAAAGGAGGGACUAUUCAGCCCAAGGAUAAAGCGAAUAGCUGCCUACAAAAAUCAUAAUAGGAGUUCCCAUUGUGGCUCAGUGGUUAACGAAUCCGACUAGGAACCAUGAGGUUUCGGGUUCGAUCCCUGGCCCUGCUCAGUGGGUUAAGGAUCUGGCGUUGCCAUGAGCUGUGGUGUGGGUCGCAGACGUGGCUCAGAUCCCAAGUUGAUGUGGCUCUAGUGUAGGCUGGUGGCUACAGCUCCGAUUAGACCCCUAGCCUGGGAACCUCCAUAUGCCACAGGUGCAGCCCUAAAAAAGGCAAAAAGCCAAAAAAAAAAAAAAAUCAUAAUAAAGGCUAGUGGUUACUGACCAUUGACUCUGUAUGUGUCAGGCAGUGCUCCACGUGCUUUAAAUGCAUUACCUCAUUUCAUCAAUACAACAACCCAACAAGGUAGAUCCUUUCAUUAUUCCCUGCUUUUCAGAUAGGCAAACAAGUCCAGAAACAUCAAGGAAUUUAUCCAAGGACACAAACUCAGCAAUGCCAGGGGGGAUUUCUCUCACCCUUCUGACUCCUUCUGACUUAGUCAUUAGGUUAUCUUGGACGUGCUCCUGGCUGGCCGCAGUUGGAUUCCUCAAGCUUCCCUCCCUUCUUUUCAAAGAACCCUCUUUUUAUUUUGGCUGGUUUGAGCCAGUUUAAUUUCACUGCACCCAUAUGUCCCCUUAGGCUCCAGCACUGGCCAAACUCAGGCUUCCUUUCUCGGGUCCCUUAAUAAAUCUGUGAGUCUCAGUAUCCGUUUGUCAAAUGCACUGAGUCCAGAUCCCACAUUAAAACUCUAAUUUGGUGGAAUCUGUGGUUCCUUGUUUGGCUCCUUCCCCAACUGUCACGUGGCCAGUGUUAGUUUGGGGUCUUUCAUCGGCCUCUCUAGUGUGAGAUGACUCAUUAAUUAAAAUAUUAACGAGCACUUCACAAGAGAUGAAGUUGUUGACACUGCGCCAUUAUACCCUCACCUUUAAUUUCAUCUGGUUUUUAACUUUUCAAAGUCAAAGUUUUUGCAGUAAGUGACAUCCUGCAUUCACAUGUAUCCCUGUGGCUCUGUGGGAUCAGGAAGGCAUCCCUAUGGCCUUACUACUGUUUAUUCAUGUCACACCCUUACUCCCUCAUUCAUUCAACAAAUAUUUGAGUAUCUGCCAUGCCCCAGGCACUAUGCUAGGUGCUGGGUAUCAAUAGUUGUUCUCUGCCCUCACAGAGGGCAAUAAAGUGCAAUGAUAGGCCAGAUGGGUUUUUUUUUCCUUUCCCCCUCUCUCUCUAAAUCAACAGGAGAGCUACCACAAAUGAGAAAGGUUAUAGGAGUAGACAAAGCAGUUUGUGGGCACAACCAAACAAAUGGGAGUGAGGAGCGCAGAUCCUGCUGGCUGACUGCCGGGGCUCAAAUCCUAGCUCUCUCGCUGCAUGACCUUGGCUUAGUUACUGAACUGGCGUCUCAAUUGUUUAAUUACCUGUUCAAUAGGGAUUAAAAUCAUAGCUUUGUCAGUAGGCUUUUUGUGAGAGCAUCUUUAUAAGUCUUUUAGAACAAAACACGUACAAGUAUUUGUUCAAAAGGGAAAGGGAGCUAUAGCCUGUUCCACCCACUGAUCAUAAGGAAGCAACUAUGCUGCAAGUAGUGCAAUGGGACAACACGCUGAUCUUGGAAUCUGCAAACAGGAGCACAGCACGGUCAGUGUUGGGGAGAACUGGGGCUCCAGGCGCCGGGCCCAGAGUCACCCCUGUGGAAGAUGACCCGCUGCGUGCCACCCCCCCCACUAACACCAAGCAAAACAGAGCCCCCACAGUCAGUUGUCUCUUGCUCUCUCAGAAUCCCCAAAUCAAGGUGUUGCUAAAAUUUAAGGUGACUUUUCCUGCAGAAUUUGUUUUCCAGAGGCAUAACUUGGAAGGAAGCAGAACGACCGAUUUGGAAGAAUCUUGGGAGCCAAGCAUCACCCAAUUGUUUGAUAACCCUGCCUCUGCUGGCACAUUUCUGCUGAUGAGGGCGCACAUUUUCAGUUAGCCUUUCCCUUAUUGGUCAUCUCUGGUUAUCAUCAAGUACUUCCUUUUAUUGCUCCCAAACCACCUUUCCUGGUGCUGCAGCAAGGAUCGCCCUGACUCUAAAGGAUGUCUUGAAAUGCCUGGAGAAAGGGGUUCCCCCCUUUCUAGGUUCUGAGCAAGUCAUUACCUGACAAGAGUUCAGACCAAAAUCCUUCAAGAUCAAAGGAGGGGACGCAGAGGGGCGUCCUAGAAGAUCAUUUUGAGAGAGGGCUCU